Molecule: small nucleolar RNA, 96 nt
Organism: Pogonomyrmex barbatus (red harvester ant)
Lineage: Eukaryota; Metazoa; Arthropoda; Insecta; Hymenoptera; Formicidae
Source: RefSeq, a predicted model, not a curated record
AUAUAAUGAUGUUUUUGCCAUGCUAAUACCGAGAAAUCAUAUAUUGAUAUAUAUGUGGAUUUCGUUGAGUUAAACUGUUAAAACAAUCUGAAUCUU